AGUAGUUUGAUCCUGGCUCAAGAACGAACGCUGGCGGCAUGCCUAACACAUGCAAGUCGAACGAGACCUUCGGGUCUAGUGGCGCACGGGUGCGUAACGCGUGGGAAUCUGCCUUAGGUUCGGAAUAACUUCGGGAAACUGAAGCUAAUACCGGAUGAUGACGUAAGUCCAAAGAUUUAUCGCCUAAGGAUGAGCCCGCGUAGGAUUAGCUAGUUGGUGAGGUAAAGGCUCACCAAGGCGACGAUCCUUAGCUGGUCUGAGAGGAUGAUCAGCCACACUGGGACUGAGACACGGCCCAGACUCCUACGGGAGGCAGCAGUGGGGAAUAUUGGACAAUGGGCGAAAGCCUGAUCCAGCAAUGCCGCGUGAGUGAUGAAGGCCUUAGGGUUGUAAAGCUCUUUUACCCGGGAUGAUAAUGACAGUACCGGGAGAAUAAGCUCCGGCUAACUCCGUG
This 454-nucleotide ribosomal RNA is filed under the name uncultured bacterium. RNAcentral describes it as "bacterial SSU rRNA". It matches the Rfam family "Bacterial small subunit ribosomal RNA", at positions 1 to 507 of the family's 1533-position model. The record is from RNAcentral.